Molecule: long non-coding RNA, 1240 nt
Filed under: Olea europaea subsp. europaea
Lineage: Eukaryota; Viridiplantae; Streptophyta; Magnoliopsida; Lamiales; Oleaceae
Source: RNAcentral
CUUGUACUGUAUUUGUCUUUUUAAUCAUAAAACUACGAAAAUAAUUAAUUUAUUGAAAAUUCUGUAAUAUUUCAAUAACUGUAUGUACCUAAUCCAUCUAGAAUAUGGCCAGUUUGGAAAAGUUAUUCGAUCCAUCUCUUUUCUUGAGAGAGUGUCUUCGAUCAUGAGCACUUGUGUUCACACGCAUGGUACUUCUUUUAACCCUGAUUAUUUUCACACUCGACUAUUUGAUACCAAUAUAUAGACAGGGCUUUGUUGUGAUUUUAAGAAAUGUUAGUAUAUUCUUAAUUAAUGAAAGAAGAGUGUUAAGUAUUAAAAUAAUUAAAAAAAAUCCUCAUUCAUGUAUAAAAUAAUAAAUGAAGACAAACCUUCAAGCCUUGCUUCCCGGGUUGUGUUUGUUAGCAUUGACAAAUGAGAGUAUCUAUAUUCCUUGUUUCACACUUGUAACUCCUUCACUCAAUUACAUGCAACACCCCAGCCUCACCCCAAGAAAGAAAUUGUUUGUCAUAUCUAACUUUUCAAGUCUUCAAGACAACCCUACUCUCUCUCUCUCUCUCUCUCUCUCUCUCUCACACACACACACACACACACGUACACUCACAGAAACACAAUAUUAAUCACUCCUCUCUCUCUUUAACACACACAAAAGCACAUUGAUUGGUGUCAAAGUGCAAGUGAUGUUGAUGAAAAGGAGUAAAGUUGGGUGUCUCUUAAUAUUUUUGUUCAGUUUUUGGGCUCUACUAGUAGUGGGAGCUAGGCAUCUACAAGACAAACCAAGAAACUAUGAAGAAAAACCUAGUAUUGGGAAUACAACUGUUUCAAGUUCUGCUAAUGGUUCUGAAGGUUUUGUUGCUACCAUCAACAGAGAGGUACCGUCGAGUCCUGAUCCUUUACACAAUCGCUAGAAGAUUCACUAUAAGAAAUUUCGUUGUAAAAAGUCAUUAUUUGGUUGUUUUGUCAAAGAGGUUCAUCGAGAGGCAUUUCAAGACGGCAAUUUUCGAAAGACUUUCAAGACAAAUUUUUGUUGUUAAAGGUGAAAUUUCUUCUAGUGGUGAUUAUAAAGAAAAUGAUACACGUCCAUGUUAAAGAAGUCUUUUUUUUUUUUUUUAAUAUAUAGUUUUGGUUUUGGUAUUUUAAUUAGUUAUCUUUUGGUCCGUAAUUUUGUCUCUUUUCUUUCGUAUUUCACAUGUUACACAGUGACUCGGAUUAACUUCCAGUUUUCAUAAAUCUUAUAAACUUU